RNAcentral lists this unclassified non-coding RNA (566 nucleotides) under Hevea brasiliensis (rubber tree). Lineage: Eukaryota; Viridiplantae; Streptophyta; Magnoliopsida; Malpighiales; Euphorbiaceae. The record is from RNAcentral.
AUGUAUUAAUAAGCCCUGGCAACUGUUCUUUAGCAGUUGAGACUCCGAGCAUGCCUUUUUUAUGUUCAAGAGAAUGGCUAGUAAUUGAACAAGGUAUGGGAGGCACGAUGGAUCAUAAAUUAUAUCUGCACCCAAAACAAUGUCAGGCAUGAACUCCUGAAGCUCAUUCUUUGUUGCAGAUUUCCAAGGCAGAUGAAUGCAAUUCACCAUAUUUAGAUCUUGUGUCCAUUUCAGCUUUCGCCUGCUUUCUGUAUAACAUAUUUAGAUCUUGGGAAGAUCUUUCUGGCAUGCCAGUAUCAGUCCUCAACUGGUUUAACUCCAAAUUAAGCUUCAUGUUAGCUAAAGUUGACAAAUCACCGUCACUUAAUAUAACCUUGGAAGCUUUUACAUGGUAAAGACAAAUUCCAACCAAACCAACACCAGAACCAACCUCAAAACAUGAUUUUCUGAAGAAUAUGUUGGGAAAAGAAAGGACAAACUCUGAUAAAUAUAGACUUGCGGGCCAAACAGCACACCCAGUGUCUCCUUCAAGCAUGUUGAGUGAACAAUGCAGUGGAACCAUCAAC